This is a transfer RNA of Monodelphis domestica (gray short-tailed opossum), 73 nucleotides long. It matches the Rfam family "tRNA". From Rfam's summary of the family: Transfer RNA (tRNA) molecules are approximately 80 nucleotides in length. Their secondary structure includes four short double-helical elements and three loops (D, anti-codon, and T loops). Lineage: Eukaryota; Metazoa; Chordata; Mammalia; Didelphimorphia; Didelphidae. The record is from Rfam.
GGCUGGGUAGCUCAGUGGAUAGAGAGCCAAGCCUAGAGGUGGGAGGUCCUAGGUUCGAAUCCAGCCUCAGCCA